RNAcentral lists this ribosomal RNA (482 nucleotides) under uncultured bacterium. RNAcentral describes it as "partial 16S ribosomal RNA". It matches the Rfam family "Bacterial small subunit ribosomal RNA", at positions 30 to 507 of the family's 1533-position model. The record is from RNAcentral.
AUUGAACGCUGGCGGCAUGCUUUACACAUGCAAGUCGAACAGUAACAGGCCGCAAGGUGCUGACGAGUGGCGAACGGGUGCGUAAUGCAUCGGAACGUGCCCAGUCGUGGGGGAUAACUACUCGAAAGAGUAGCUAAUACCGCAUACGAUCUAUGGAUGAAAGCGGGGGACCGUAAGGCCUCGCGCGAUUGGAGCGGCCGAUGUCAGAUUAGGUAGUUGGUGGGGUAAAGGCUCACCAAGCCAACGAUCUGUAGCUGGUCUGAGAGGACGACCAGCCACACUGGGACUGAGACACGGCCCAGACUCCUACGGGAGGCAGCAGUGGGGAAUUUUGGACAAUGGGCGCAAGCCUGAUCCAGCAAUGCCGCGUGCAGGAAGAAGGCCUUCGGGUUGUAAACUGCUUUUGUACGGAACGAAACGGCUCUGGUUAAUACCCGGGGCUAAUGACGGUACCGUAAGAAUAAGCACCGGCUAACUACGUG